Molecule: transfer RNA, 47 nt
Filed under: Macruronus magellanicus (Patagonian grenadier)
Lineage: Eukaryota; Metazoa; Chordata; Actinopteri; Gadiformes; Merlucciidae
Description: partial tRNA-Val
Source: RNAcentral
CAUCUCCCUUACACUGAGAAGUUGUUCAUGCAAAUUGAACUACCCUG